AGAGUAUCGAAGUUGGUCUCAUU
This 23-nucleotide non-coding RNA is filed under the name Arabidopsis thaliana (thale cress). Lineage: Eukaryota; Viridiplantae; Streptophyta; Magnoliopsida; Brassicales; Brassicaceae. The record is from RNAcentral.